Long non-coding RNA from Oxyura jamaicensis (ruddy duck), 1722 nucleotides. RefSeq lists it as uncharacterized. The record is from RefSeq and is a predicted model, not a curated record. The transcript is spliced from 2 exons. Lineage: Eukaryota; Metazoa; Chordata; Aves; Anseriformes; Anatidae.
GUGCAGUCGGAGUGUUUGUGCUGCUAGCAGGGAGAUGAAACCAUGGUACCCAGAGCUGGUGUGAUCUGGCUGUGCUCACCCCUGUGACGUUUCAGAGCCUUUUGGCCUUCCCUGCCUUGGAAAGAUCCUUUUCUUCUUGGGGAAAACUUCAAAAAACCCUCCUUCCAGCUGUUUUGGAGUAACAAACGCAGCUGUUCUCGUUUUCAUAAAGACAUUGAAUGUGCUUCUACAGACAGUGUUGCAGUAAAGCAUCGAAUAUGAAAGCUUUCUUCACCACAGACCUGUGUGAAGGGUUCUCUCUGUGCUUGAUACUUGCGAUGUGGAAGAAGAACACGGUGCAUGUAAGCAUGAUCACCUGGCUGCCCCUCAGCUGCCUGACUGCAUCCUUCACCCGUGUACGAGAGGUGUUUUUACGUGUAUUUCUUUACAUGGCGUGUUUGAGGCAGAAGUAUAUCCAUGUGCCUCUGCCAGGUCAAGUGAAAGCGGCAUCGCUGAGCUUACAUCUUGGUGGAGUGCCACAGAGCGUGGAGUAUACCGCAUGGACACAGCGUGUCGUACGAAGGUGCAGGCAUGAGCACGACUGUUACGAACACAGAAGCCUCAGGAGUGCCGCUGGCGGAGCGCUGCUUCAGUCGUUGUGUCACUAAAGUGGGUGUAAUGGAUUUCUGUGGUGUGGUGAGACUUACCGAACGUCUGCACGGAGAUAAUGCAGCAUUAGUAAUAAGCCCACGUCACUUCUUGUUCUGGGAUUGUACGUUGGUCACCUACAGUGUCUACCCUCGGAAUAAAAAGUAUUUACAGCAUUGGGAGUUUCUUCUCACCUGCCCUCCCAGGAGCCCACUGCUGCUUCAUGCUGGGUUUCGCAAGACAAGUUUGUGACUACUUGGCAAAUUAGUAGUGAUGAUGCUUUUCAUGGAUUGGACACUGGAGGGUGCUAAUGCAAUGGGAGCUGAAAUUGUUCUAGCAAAUUAAAGGGUUCCCCUUUGUUACUUGUGAAAUAAUUUUAUUCUUUGUUGCAACAUUUAAAUGGAAAGACAUGAAUCACGGUCCUUACAGGCAGCUGAUCGCACUGUGCGUGUGUAGAGCUAUAACCAAGAAUAUCAAUAAAGUGUUAAGUCUGUGAGGGAUUUCUUUCCUGAACCUUUAUCAAAAAAAAAAAUCACUUCAUGUUCUACACGUUUUUAAGUGUGUCUUUCAAGAUAACGGCCUUGAGGUGAAUUUUAUUUGAAAGCAUGACUUUCUAGUGAUAAAAACACUUUGUCAGGCAGAGUUGUUGAGAAACAUCCACAGCAUCUGCUUUACUACAAGGUCACUUUGGUUCACCUAAAGCAGCGUUGUCUUGUUGCUGCCCAGGCAGAACCUGAUGGUGGCUCACAUCGGGGAGGGGAGGGACGCCUCUCACACCACUAAUCGAGUCCCUGGUGUUGGGAUCCUCUGCCUGGGGAUGCACCCAAUGGAGCUCUCUAAUAUCAAGGCUUAGGCUGGCAGGAAGACAUGGGGCUGACAUAAAUGCCCCAGUGCACACCUUGGCAAUUCCUUAUUCAGUAUUAAGGGCUGUGAAACUACUGCCUGAGCCAGUUCUCGUCCUGGCAGCAGCAGAGGUAUGAUUCUAGCUAAUUAAUGCUAAUGAGAAGCAGGGUGCAGAGCCAAGCGUAUCCAGCUAAUCACCGCUGGCACCCCAACUAGGCCGUGUAAAGCUAGCGCGGUCCUCAGAGGUCCUGC